AUUGAACGCUGGCGGCAUGCCUUACACAUGCAAGUCGAACGGUAACAGGUCUUCGGAUGCUGACGAGUGGCGAACGGGUGAGUAAUACAUCGGAACGUGCCCGGUCGUGGGGGAUAACGAAGCGAAAGCUUUGCUAAUACCGCAUAAGAUCUACGGAUGAAAGCAGGGGACCGCAAGGCCUUGCGCGAACGGAGCGGCCGAUGGCAGAUUAGGUAGUUGGUGGGAUAAAAGCUUACCAAGCCGACGAUCUGUAGCUGGUCUGAGAGGGCGACCAGCCACACGGGGACUGAGACACGGCCCAGACUCCUACGGGAGGCAGCAGUGGGGAAUUUUGGACAAUGGGCGAAAGCCUGAUCCAGCCAUGCCGCGUGCAGGAUGAAGGCCUUCGGGUUGUAAACUGCUUUUGUACGGAACGAAAAGACUCUUUCUAAUAAAGAGGGUCCAUGACGGUACCGUAAGAAUAAGCACCGGCUAACUACGUGCCAGCCGCCGCCGUAA
RNAcentral lists this ribosomal RNA (498 nucleotides) under uncultured bacterium. RNAcentral describes it as "partial 16S ribosomal RNA". It matches the Rfam family "Bacterial small subunit ribosomal RNA", at positions 30 to 523 of the family's 1533-position model. The record is from RNAcentral.